This 2879-nucleotide ribosomal RNA is filed under the name Lacticaseibacillus paracasei subsp. paracasei. Its description in RNAcentral is "23S ribosomal RNA". It matches the Rfam family "Bacterial large subunit ribosomal RNA". The record is from RNAcentral. Lineage: Bacteria; Bacillati; Bacillota; Bacilli; Lactobacillales; Lactobacillaceae.
GGUUAAGUUACAAAGGGCGCACGGUGAUGCCUUGGCACUAGGAGCCGAUGAAGGACGGAACUAAUACCGAUAUGUCGGGGAGCUAUAGUAAGUAAGCUUUUGAUCCGGAGAUUUCCGAAUGGGGGAACCCAGUACAUCAGUGUAUUGUUUGUCAGUGAAUACAUAGCUGGCCGGUGGCAGACGCGGGAACUGAAACAUCUCAGUACCCGCAGGAAGAAAAGAAAACCGAUUCCCAUAGCGGCGAGCGAAGCGGGAGAGAUUCCAAAACCGAGAAGCUUGCUCGGGGUUGUGGACUGACAUUGGAGUUACCAAAGUCCGGACGUGGUAGUCGAAGUCAGCUGGAAAGCUGCGCCACAGAAGGUGAAAGCCUGGUGUUGAAAACGUCGAACCUCCGUCCAGGAUCCUGAGUAAUGGCGGAACACGAAAAUCUGUCGGAAUCCGAGGACCAUCUCCCGGCUAAAUACUCCCUAGUGACCGAUAGUGAACCAGUACCGUGAGGGAAAGGUGAAAAGCACCCCGGAAGGGGAGUGAAACAGUUCCUGAAACCGUAAAAUACAAUUAGUCAAAGCCCGUUAAUGGGUAAUGGCGUGCCUUUUGUAGAAUGAACCGGCGAGUUACGUUUGCUUGCGAGGUUAAGAUGAAAAGUCGGAGCCGUAGCGAAAGCGAGUCUGAACAGGGCGAAUGAGUACAGAUGUAGACCCGAAACCAAGACCCUACCCAUGACCAGGUUGGAAGGUGUGGUGAAACACACUGGAGGACCGAACCCAUGUAAGGUUGAAAAAUGCUGGAUGAGUUGUGGGUAGCGGUGAAAUUCCAAACGAACUUGGGAGAUAGCUGUUCUUCCAAAUAGCUUUAGGUUAGCCUCGGAGGAUGGAUCAUGGAGGUAGAGCACUGUUUGAACUAGGGCCCAUCAAGGGUUACUGGAAUUCAGAUAAACUCUGGGAAUACCAUCGAUCUUACUCGGGAGUCAGACAGUGAGCGAUAAGGUCCAUUGUCGAAAGGGGAACAGCCCAGAUCACCAGUUAAGGUCCCUAAAUUAUGCUAAGUGGAAAAAGGAUGUGGCGUUGCACAGACAACUAGGAUGCUGGCUCAGAAGCAGCCACCAUUUAAAGAGUGCGUAAUACUCACUAGUCGAGGGCACUGCGCCGAAAAUAUACCGCUAAGCAUAACACCGAAACUGUGGUGCACCCGCGGUGCGCAGAGGAGAGCGUUCUAAGGGCGUUGAAGGUCGAUCGCAGGACGGCUGGAGUGCUUAGAAGUGAGAAUGCCGGCAUGAGUAGCGAAAGAUCAGUGAGAAUCUGAUCCACCGUAUGACUAAGGUUUCCUGAAAGCCUCGUCCUCCCAGGGUUAGUCGGAUCUGAGCGAAGGCCGAGGCGUAGUCGAGACAAGCAGGUUGAGAUUCCUGCACUAGUUUAUUUUGUUUAAACGAUGGAGGGACGCAGGAGGCUAAGGAAAGCGCACGGCUGGAAAUGUGCGCCCAAGCAGCAAGUCUGACAGCGAGUGAAAUGCUUGCAGUCUUAAGGACAAGCUGUGAUGGGGAGCGAAAUUAUAGCGAAGUUCCGAUGUCACACUGCCAAGAAAAAGCUUCUAGUGAGAAAUAAACUACCCGUACCGCAAACCGACACAGGUAGUCGAGGAGAGUAUCCUCAGGUGAGCGAGCGAACUCUCGUUAAGGAACUCGGCAAAAUGACCCCAGUAACUUCGGAAGAAGGGGUGCUGACCGCAAGGUCAGCCGCAGUGAAUAGGCCCAAACAACUGUUUAUCAAAACACAGGUCUCUGCUAAAUCGUAAGAUGAUGUAUAGGGGCUGACGCCUGCCCGGUGCUGGAAGGUUAAGAGGAUGAGUUAGCGCAAGCGAAGCCCAGAAUUGAAGCCCCAGUAAACGGCGGCCGUAACUAUAACGGUCCUAAGGUAGCGAAAUUCCUUGUCGGGUAAGUUCCGACCCGCACGAAAGGCGUAAUGAUUUGGGCACUGUCUCAACGAGAGACUCGGUGAAAUUAUAGUACCCGUGAAGAUGCGGGUUACCCGCGACAGGACGGAAAGACCCCAUGGAGCUUUACUGUAGCUUGAUAUUGAGUGUUUGUACCGCUUGUACAGGAUAGGUAGGAGCCGUAGAGAUCGGAACGCUAGUUUCGAUGGAGGCGUUGGUGGGAUACUACCCUAGCUGUAUGAACACUCUAACCCGCGCCACUAAUCGUGGCGGGAGACAGUGUCAGGUAGGCAGUUUGACUGGGGCGGUCGCCUCCUAAAAUGUAACGGAGGCGCCCAAAGGUUCCCCUCAGAAUGGUUGGAAAUCAUUCGCAGAGUGUAAAGGUAUAAGGGAGCUUGACUGCGAGACUGACAAGUCGAGCAGGGACGAAAGUCGGGCUUAGUGAUCCGGUGGUUCCGUAUGGAAGGGCCAUCGCUCAACGGAUAAAAGCUACCCUGGGGAUAACAGGCUUAUCUCCCCAAGAGUCCACAUCGACGGGGAGGUUUGGCACCUCGAUGUCGGCUCAUCGCAUCCUGGGGCUGUAGUCGGUCCCAAGGGUUGGGCUGUUCGCCCAUUAAAGCGGUACGCGAGCUGGGUUCAGAACGUCGUGAGACAGUUCGGUCCCUAUCCGUCGCGGGCGCAGGAAAUUUGAGAGGAGCUGUCCUUAGUACGAGAGGACCGGGAUGGACGUUCCGCUGGUGUACCAGUUGUGCCGCCAGGCGCAUCGCUGGGUAGCUAUGAACGGCAGGGAUAAACGCUGAAAGCAUCUAAGUGUGAAGCCCCUCGAGAUGAGAUUUCCCAUUCCUAUAUGGAAGUAAGACCCCUGAGAGAUGAUCAGGUAGAUAGGCUGGAAGUGGAAGUGCAGCGAUGCAUGGAGCGGACCAGUACUAAUCGGUCGAGGACUUAACCAA